RNAcentral lists this ribosomal RNA (382 nucleotides) under uncultured eukaryote. RNAcentral's name for it is "partial 18S ribosomal RNA". It matches the Rfam family "Eukaryotic small subunit ribosomal RNA", at positions 592 to 976 of the family's 1831-position model. The record is from RNAcentral.
UGUAAGCGUAUACCAAAGUUGUUGCAGUUAAAACGCUCGUAGUCGGAAUUUGGCAGUUCCGGAAGUGUGCACGUCGUGUGCGCACUUUGCGGGGACUGCUUUUGUGGUCUUGCGUAGGAUGAGGCACUUUCAUUAGUGAACGUCCUCACGCAACCACUCUUUACUGUGAGAAAAUCAGAGUGCUCAAAGCAGGCAUUUGCCGUGAAGGUAUUAGCAUGGAAUAAUAGAAUAGGACUCGGUUCUAUUUUGUUGGUUUGUUGGGACUGAGUAAUGAUUAAGAGGGACAGUUGGGGGCAUUUGUAUUCCGGCGCUAGAGGUGAAAUUCUUAGAUUGCCGGAAGACAAACUGCUGCGAAAGCGUCUGCCAAGGAUGUUUUCAUUGA